This 342-nucleotide ribosomal RNA is filed under the name uncultured bacterium. RNAcentral's name for it is "bacterial SSU rRNA". It matches the Rfam family "Bacterial small subunit ribosomal RNA", at positions 28 to 334 of the family's 1533-position model. The record is from RNAcentral.
GAUAAACGCUGGCGGCGCACAUAAGACAUGCAAGUCGAACGAAGAUCGUUACAAAAUGGAAGGAAGAUUUAUCGGAAUGAAGUUUUGUAACAAUGGUCUUAGUGGCGGACUGGUGAGUAACGCGUAAGUAACCUGCCUGUUAGAGGGGAAUAACAAUGAGAAAUCAUUGCUAAUACCGCAUAUGCCAUAAUUAUCACAUGAUAAUAGUGGGAAAGGAGUAAUUCGCUAACAGAUGGACUUGCGUCUGAUUAGAUAGUUGGUGGGGUAAAGGCCUACCAAGUCGACGAUCAGUAGCCGGACUGAGAGGUUGAACGGCCACAUUGGGACUGAGAUACGGCCCAG